GUGGGAGGGGGCUUGCUCCCGAUCGCGGUGGUUCAGUCACAGUCUCUGUCACUGAACCACCGCGAUCGGGAGCAAGCCCCCUCCCAC
Molecule: unclassified non-coding RNA, 87 nt
Filed under: Pseudomonas rhodesiae
Lineage: Bacteria; Pseudomonadati; Pseudomonadota; Gammaproteobacteria; Pseudomonadales; Pseudomonadaceae
Source: RNAcentral